Molecule: transfer RNA, 61 nt
Filed under: Perinereis nuntia
Lineage: Eukaryota; Metazoa; Annelida; Polychaeta; Phyllodocida; Nereididae
Description: tRNA-Met
Source: RNAcentral
AAUAAGCUAAACACAAGCUAUUGGGCUCAUACCCCGAAAAUGGAUUCCCCCCUUUUAUCAC